Saccostrea echinata is the source of this 446-nucleotide long non-coding RNA. RefSeq lists it as uncharacterized. The record is from RefSeq and is a predicted model, not a curated record. The transcript has 3 exons. Lineage: Eukaryota; Metazoa; Mollusca; Bivalvia; Ostreida; Ostreidae.
UUAUGGUUUCUGGUCCUUCUGGGUUACUGUGCAGCUCAGUGUUUCUAUUCUCGUUCUCCAACACCUCCUCCACCAGGAUCUACAGAUCCACCUCCUACCCACUGCAAUUCAUCUGGUGUGAUAUUGGCACCAGGAGAAGCACACACAGAUAUGACAAGAUGUUUGAGAUGUCACUGUGGAGCAGAUCUUGUACUCUACUGUUGCUCAAUGCUCAUGCACUACACAGUACCAGAGGGUUGUGUUGUUAAAGAAAAGAACUGUACACAGGAGAUUGUUCACAAAGCGGACGGAUCUCCAUGCCAAUAUCUUGCAUCUUUUUCCAGAAGGUGACAUAACAACAAAUGGAACAAAAUUGAAAUUAUUAUUAAAGAAAAUAACAUUUUAAAUUUUUAAAUACAUGUUUGUAUUUAUCUGAAAGUGUCCAAUAAAAAUUACAACCAUAAUAA